CCCUCUUAAGUCAAGUCAAUACACUAAGAGCAAUAUUAUCAGCCACUAUGGAAUUUCCAACUAAAGAUAAAAAGGAAAGAAGGAAAGAGGCAAAGCUGGAAGAUACCCACUAUAGAGGAAGAAACAAAAAAAAGUUGUAUCCAGUAUUUAAAAUGGCAGACCUGAAUCUCCUAUAGAAAGCUAGACUCCAACUUAUCAUCAAAUAGCCAAAGCUUUUAACAACCAUUCACCACAUCUUUGACAAUGUACUAUACAUAAACCUUCCUGUUCUGUAGCUCAUAGAGGUUUGGCUUGUUUAUUGCUUAUAGAGCACAACAUAUUUAUUUGUAUAUCUGGACCCAGUUUUUUAACUAGCAACUAAGAAAGAACUUACAAGUUAUGGGGGAAAUAAUGUAGAUGAAAAUAAUUUUUUCCUGC
This 417-nucleotide long non-coding RNA is filed under the name Mustela putorius furo (domestic ferret). RNAcentral's name for it is "lncRNA (ENSMPUG00000028962.1)". Lineage: Eukaryota; Metazoa; Chordata; Mammalia; Carnivora; Mustelidae. The record is from RNAcentral.